Molecule: long non-coding RNA, 270 nt
Filed under: Mytilus galloprovincialis (Mediterranean mussel)
Lineage: Eukaryota; Metazoa; Mollusca; Bivalvia; Mytilida; Mytilidae
Source: RNAcentral
GUGCUCACAUUAUUAUCAACCUAAUUUUUCCUGCUAUAACCUAUCUUGUAAAUAAACUCCUGGGAAAUACUGUGUAGCAAUGCCAUUGGUAUCCAUGUUUGAAUUAAACAUAAAUCAUAAUUUAAUUGCAACUUUUAUUUUAUAUAUAUAUACAUCACAAUUAUAAUUUGGCCCUUGGGGAAACUACUCAGCUAAAAAAAUUAAUUUUUUGCUCCAUGCCUAAACCAAGAGCCUAGCUAUGUGCAUACUGAAAAGUAGCAAAGUAUAGAC